CGGGGUGGAUAGGCUAGGACCACCAGGUGGGGGCAGGGCUGGGUGUGUCUGAGCUCAGACUCUCCAUGGGCGGGUCUUGCUGCUGCUGCUGUGGGGGAUAGGGUUGAGGUUCCCAGGUCACUGGACUUGUGUACCUAGCAGGAUUAUGGCUGCCUCUGCUGAGUCAUGCAGGUUGUCAGGGAAGUGGGGGAAAGCCGGCAGUCACAGACCUCACCCAGCUCCCAUGCAAACUGAAGGGCUGGUCUCACUCCCACCAUGCCCUGGCCAACAGCCCAGAAUCUGUUUCCAGGAGGAGGGUGAGAUGGGCUUGAAAAUUUGCCUGAGGCUAUCCACCUCCCAGCUGGGAGAGAAUAACGCUUUAGUUCUUCUCCUGCCUGUGAAGUCUGCAUGCCUGAUUCGUGCCCUCCCGAGUUCUUGCCCAGAGGCUUCUUGCCCUGUUCAAAUUGUUACAAAGUUCAGCUAGAGAAUUCCUUCUCCCUGUAGUUUCACCCCCUGCUCCUCUGGCCACCCUCCUGAUGUGUGGUCCCAGGCAGGAACUGGCUGCUUAGGGACCCAGCGAGCUCCCAGGGCCUUUCUGCUGCUUCCUCUACCCCAUAUUUCACUCGGCUCUCUAACUGGACUCGGCACCAGGAAGAAGAACAGAACAAUGUUAGCCCCUCUGAAUCUUGAGUGUGGAAAAUUACGGGGCCACCUACCAAUUGUUACUGGCAGGAGACGUAAUAAGAGAGCCAGGAGCUGGCAACUCUCCUUCCUCUGGCCAGGAGUUUUCUUCUUACUCAUUAGCAAUUAUUUAUCUGCUCUUUGGAAGGAGGAGUUGUUCCUCCUUGCACGUGCUGUGCUGAAUGAACUCACCAGAAGGAAAAUAAUUUCACAGUGCAUGUUUUUUUUUUUUUUUUUUGAGACGGAGUCUCGCUGUCACCCAGGCUGGAGUGCAGUGUCACGAUCUCGGCUCACUGCAGGCUCCGCCCCCCGGGGUUCACGCCAUUCUCCUGCCUCAGCCUCCCGCGUAGCUGGGACUACAGGUGCCCGCCACCUCGCCCGGCUAAUUUUUUGUAUUUUUAGUAGAGAUGGGGUUUCACCGUGUUAGCCAGGAUGGUCUUGAUCUCCUGACCUCUUGAUCCGCCCGCCUCGGCCUCCCAAAGUGCUGGGAUUACAGGCGUGAGCCACCGCACCCGGCCUCAUAGUGCACGUUUUUAAAGCUCCCUCCAUGGUAGGAAAGUUUUUGUGGAACAGAAGAAAAUUGGAGGUUAGCAAUCAUUUUAUUAUUUUGUUAAAUGAAGAAAGCCAGGAAAAAUAAAAUUCCUGGUAAAGAAAGAGUUGCUUCAGUUUACUGCUCUGGGGUGGCUUCUCCAGUGAUUCUGGCCGGUGCAUUAGGAAGCCAAGUUUGCAUUUUGGAGGUUGUGGACUCAGCAUAUGAGUCAAGUUUCUUUGCAAAGAAAACCUGAGGGUUUUGUUGUAUUCUAAUUUAUAAUUAGGCAUUAGGCAAAGUAGCAAUGAAGGAUCUUACUUCAGCAGGUUUACUGCUUGAUUUUGCUUUUGGUUCUACUUAGCAACUUUAAGUAGAGUAAAGGAAGCAGCUAUACUCCUUCAGGGAAUCAAGAUAUGACAAUUGGACAUUUGGAUAUUCAUGUGUUUUUUUAGGAUGGAACCUCUAUAAAUGGAAUGACACUUCUAAGGUCCAAAAGUAAAUAUAAAUUUUAAAUUGUUCUUUUAAAUCUAUGCACAUUUCUCAGAAUCUCAGAAAAAAUAAACAUUCCAAGAAUAAAAUGUGAUUUGUAUUAUUUCUACUAAAAAAAAAAAAAAACUCCCAAGCCAAAUACCAAAGCAAUGCACAUCUGUUGAAAUUAGGAAUACAGUUAUUAAAUAAAG
Molecule: long non-coding RNA, 1869 nt
Filed under: Homo sapiens (human)
Lineage: Eukaryota; Metazoa; Chordata; Mammalia; Primates; Hominidae
Description: HSALNT0403205
Source: RNAcentral